This 119-nucleotide ribosomal RNA is filed under the name Ornithorhynchus anatinus (platypus). Lineage: Eukaryota; Metazoa; Chordata; Mammalia; Monotremata; Ornithorhynchidae. The record is from RNAcentral.
GCCUACAGCCAUACCACCCCGAAGUGUCCAUUUCUGUCUGAUCUUGGAAGCUAAGCAGAAUCGGGACCUGACUAGAAUUUGCAUAGAAAACCUCCUGGAAAUAUCAGGUGCUAUAGGCU